RNAcentral lists this long non-coding RNA (356 nucleotides) under Hordeum vulgare. Its description in RNAcentral is "long non-coding RNA (HVUL_LNC018087)". The record is from RNAcentral. Lineage: Eukaryota; Viridiplantae; Streptophyta; Magnoliopsida; Poales; Poaceae.
AAAGUCCUUAAUAAAUUUCACCCAAGAACAUCUAUUACAAAAAAUAGGAAUUAAGACCAAACAGAAAAUAAGCAAAUAAAUGACAUGAAACAGCAAAUCUGCACAUAGGUCUCUUGCAUGUGGCCCACCUCGUCCUUGGAGGAGGAGCUGUUGGUGGACGCAACCUGUGUCAGAUUGCCGUCGAGCUCGGCCCGUCGACGUGGAAGUACAUCAUGAACUUAGCCGUUGUGCUAAACUUCCUCCCAUAAGCUGAUAGAAGGAUUCAUGUGAUACUGUAUGUUCAACAAAUGUCUACUAAAUUUGAGCAUAACUAAUCUCCCAAAUAAACUCGUCACAAAUCCAGCUUCUUUGCAUAC